This 520-nucleotide ribosomal RNA is filed under the name Escherichia coli. Its description in RNAcentral is "bacterial SSU rRNA". It matches the Rfam family "Bacterial small subunit ribosomal RNA", at positions 92 to 610 of the family's 1533-position model. Lineage: Bacteria; Pseudomonadati; Pseudomonadota; Gammaproteobacteria; Enterobacterales; Enterobacteriaceae. The record is from RNAcentral.
GGGGAGGGUUCGAGGUGAGUAUGUCUGGGAACUGCCUGAUGGAGGGGGAUAACUACUGGAAACGGUAGCUAAUACCGCAUAACGUCGCAAGACCAAAGAGGGGGACCUUCGGGCCUCUUGCCAUCGGAUGUGCCCAGAUGGGAUUAGCUAGUAGGUGGGGUAACGGCUCACCUAGGCGACGAUCCCUAGCUGGUCUGAAAGGAUGACCAGCCACACUGGAACUGAGACACGGUCCAGACUCCUACGGGAGGCAGCAGUGGGGAAUAUUGCACAAUGGGCGCAAGCCUGAUGCAGCCAUGCCGCGUGUAUGAAGAAGGCCUUCGGGUUGUAAAGUACUUUCAGCGGGGAGGAAGGGAGUAAAGUUAAUACCUUUGCUCAUUGACGUUACCCGCAGAAGAAGCACCGGCUAACUCCGUGCCAGCAGCCGCGGUUAUACGGAGGGUGUAAGCGUUAAUCGGAAUUAUUGGGCGAUAAGACCACGCAUGCGGUUUGUUAAGUCAAAUGUGAAAUCCCUUUUCCU